Molecule: ribosomal RNA, 253 nt
Filed under: uncultured bacterium
Lineage: Bacteria
Description: partial 16S ribosomal RNA
Rfam family: Bacterial small subunit ribosomal RNA
Source: RNAcentral
UACGUAGGGGGCAAGCGUUGUCCGGAUUUACUGGGCGUAAAGGGCGCGUAGGCGGCCGUGUAAGUCACUUGUGAAAUCCCGGGGCUCAACUCCGGGGCUGCAGGUGAGACUGCGUGGCUAGAGCACGGUAGAGGCGAGUGGAAUUCCCGGUGUAGCGGUGGAAUGCGUAGAUAUCGGGAGGAACACCAGUGGCGAAGGCGGCGAUCUGGGAAGAUACUGACGCUGAGGUGCGAAAGCGUGGGGAGCAAACAGG